RNAcentral lists this ribosomal RNA (394 nucleotides) under Neogloboquadrina pachyderma. RNAcentral describes it as "bacterial SSU rRNA". Lineage: Eukaryota; Foraminifera; Rotaliida; Globorotaliidae. The record is from RNAcentral.
UAAUUCGGUUAUUUAUUUAAGCGGUUAAUUAAGCAUCGAGUGUAGAUAUGCUAGUCCUUUCAUGAUUAUGUGAUAGGUGGUGCAUGGCCGUUCUUAGUUCGUGGAGUGAUCUGUCUGCUUAAUUGCGUUUCACUAAGGGCCCAUAAAUUCAAGGUAUGUUAGCUAUCGUCGCUCUAUGGACCCCUUAUUCACUGCUUUAAUUAGUUUGUUUAAGCGCGCGUCUUUAUUUAAUGAGUUUAAGACACUGCGCAUGCUGUUGGGCUCUGAAAGCAACGAACGUGACCGCAACGUCUUGUUGCCUUAAUAAAGUUGGCUUAAAUACGAAAUUCGUAUUUAAACCGCUUACAGAGGCUAUUUAAAACUAGACGGACCGCUGUUUCUUUUCUUAAACCAG